This 229-nucleotide ribosomal RNA is filed under the name Penicillium sp. RNAcentral describes it as "partial 28S ribosomal RNA". It matches the Rfam family "Eukaryotic large subunit ribosomal RNA", at positions 1 to 228 of the family's 3401-position model. The record is from RNAcentral. Lineage: Eukaryota; Fungi; Ascomycota; Eurotiomycetes; Eurotiales; Aspergillaceae.
UUGACCUCGGAUCAGGUAGGGAUACCCGCUGAACUUAAGCAUAUCAAUAAGCGGAGGAAAAGAAACCAACAGGGAUUGCCCCAGUAACGGCGAGUGAAGCGGCAAGAGCUCAAAUUUGAAAGCUGGCCCCUUCGGGGUCCGCAUUGUAAUUUGCAGAGGAUGCUUCGGCAGCGGUCCCCGUCUAAGUACCCUGGAACGGGUCGUCAUAGAGGGUGAGAAUCCCGUAUGG